AGCGAAGGAGCGGAAGGAAUAGGGGAUUAGGUUAGUCUUAGCUUGUCCAUCCUAGUGCUUCCUAUCCUGUCGUAUCCUGUGUAUCCUAUAGGAGUUCAUCUACUUUCUCUAUCUAUCUAUCUAUCUAUGUAUCUAUCUAUGUAAUUUUCUCUUUUCCUUUCUUUUUCUUAAUUUCUUUCUCUUUUUUUUCUCUUGUUUUUCUUUCUCUCUCUUUAUCUAUCUAUCUAUCUAAUUAUUUAUCUGUUUAUCUAUGUCAUUUUCUCCUUUUCUGUAUUUCUUUCCCUUUUCCUUUCUUUUUUCUCAAUUUCCUUCUCUUUUUUUUCUCUUGUUUUACUUUCUCUUUAUCUAUCUAUCUAUCUAAUUACCAAUCUGUUUAUCUAUGUCAUUUUCUCCUUUUCUUUAUUUCUUUCUCUUUUUCUCUAUUUCUUUCUCUUUCCCUUUCUUUCUUUCUUUCCUUCUUUUCUCUCGUCUCUCGUCUCUCUCUCUCUCUCUCUCUCUCUCUCUCUCUCUCUCUCUCUCUCUCUCUCUCUCUCUCUCUCUCUCUCUCUCUCUACCGUGUUCCUUCUAUCUAACUUCCAUUUCUUUUUCCACUAUCAUACAGGUCGUGAGGUGACAGGUAAGUGUGCUGGGGAUAAACAGGUGUCAUACAGGUGAUACACACAGGUAGCACAGGUGUGACGGUGACACGGAAUACAUGAGGGGAGUCUACAAUGCACAGGUAUUACGCUAAACCCGCCCCAGUGUGUCAGACAGGGUCCCUCAGGUGAUAGAAAGUCUUACAGGUAAAAAAAAAUGAUAGCACAGGUAUAGAAGGAUAACGUGAAGUAGUAAUAGUAACAUGGAGAGUAAAAGUAGUCCAGAAAAUUAAGGUGUUGAAGAAGAGUCGUCCCACUGUUGCUCAGGUAAUUGGAAAGUCGUACAGGUAAUUAAACGAUGGUACAGGUAAAGCAGGAAGAUGUGAAGGUGUAGUAUUGACACGUAGGGUUAAAUUACAGUUCCUAGUAUACAGGUGUGCAAGGAAACCCAAUAUACUGUCAGGUAGGUCGGACAGGUGAUUGGAAAGUCGCACAGGUAAUUAAACGAUGGUACAGGUAAAGCAGGAAGAUGUGAAGGUGUAGUAUUGACACGUAGGGUUAAAUUAGAGUUCCUAGUAUACAGGUGUGCAAGGAAACCCAAUAUAGUGUCAGGUAGGUCGGACAGGUGAUUGGAAAGUCGCACAGGUAAUAAGAAGACUCUACAGGUAUGACCAGAAGACGUAUAGAAGUAAAGAAGGUAGAAAAAAUAAAGUCCAUGACAUACAGGUGUUGGAGAAGACUAGUCCCAGUGUCGUUCAGGUGUUUGGAAAGUCGUACAGGUAAGAAAAUUAUAGUACAGGUAAGGCAGGAAGACGCAAAGGUGUAGAGUGACAUGCAGGGUAAAAAUAGUCCUCAGAAUACAGGUGUGCAAGGAAGCAUAAUGUAGUGUCAGGUGUGUCGUUCAGGUGUUUGGAAAGUCGUACAGGUAUGAAAAUUAUAGUACAGGUAAGGCAGGAAGACGCAAAGGUGUAGAGUGACAUGUAAGGUAAAAAUAGUCCACUAAAUACAGGUGUGCGAGGAAGCCUAAUGUAGUGUCAGGUGUGUCGUUCAGGUGAUUGGACAGCCGCACAGGUGAUAAGAAGGUGGUCACACAGGUAUGGCAGGAAGACGUAAAGAAGUAAAUGUAGUGAAAGUGAACGCCAUAAAAUACAGGUGUUGAAGAAGACUAGUCCCAGUGUUGCUCAGGUAAUUGGAAAGUCGUACAGGUGAUAAAGAGGAGGUCGUACUAGUAUAUAUAAAAAAAAAAAAGACGAGCGAAGUAAGAGUAAUAUGCGAAGUACAAGUCAAGUCCUUAGAAUAAACAUGUUGGGAAAAAGUCGUUCUAAUUUGUGUAUGUCGUCCAGGGGGUA
This is a long non-coding RNA of Eriocheir sinensis (Chinese mitten crab), 1924 nucleotides long. RefSeq lists it as uncharacterized. NCBI's taxonomy places the organism in Eukaryota, Metazoa, Arthropoda, Malacostraca, Decapoda, Varunidae. The record is from RefSeq and is a predicted model, not a curated record. The transcript has 3 exons.